RNAcentral lists this ribosomal RNA (507 nucleotides) under Lacticaseibacillus zeae. Its description in RNAcentral is "bacterial SSU rRNA". It matches the Rfam family "Bacterial small subunit ribosomal RNA", at positions 32 to 503 of the family's 1533-position model. The record is from RNAcentral. Lineage: Bacteria; Bacillati; Bacillota; Bacilli; Lactobacillales; Lactobacillaceae.
AACGCUGGCGGCGUGCCUAAUACAUGCAAGUCGAACGAGUUCUGGUUAUUGAACGGUGCUUGCAUCUUGAUUACAUUUUGAACGAGUGGCGGACGGGUGAGUAACACGUGGGUAACCUGCCCUUAAGUGGGGGAUAACAUUUGGAAACAGAUGCUAAUACCGCAUAAAUCCAAGAACCGCAUGGUUCCUGGCUGAAAGAUGGCGUAAGCUAUCGCUUUUGGAUGGUCCCGCGGCGUAUUAGCUAGUUGGUGAGGUAACGGCUCACCAAGGCAAUGAUACGUAGCCGACCUGAGAGGUUGAUCGGCCACAUUGGGACUGAGACACGGCCCAAACUCCUACGGGAGGCAGCAGUAGGGAAUCUUCCACAAUGGACGCAAGUCUGAUGGAGCAACGCCGCGUGAGUGAAGAAGGCUUUCGGGUCGUAAAACUCUGUUGUUGGAGAAGAAUGGUCGGCAGAGUAACUGUUGUCGGCGUGACGGUAUCCAACCAGAAAGCCACGGCUAACUA